CGAGGGGUGACAAAACAGCAGCGAGGUUUGCGUUAGUGGCAAGCGGUUUUCCACCGCAACCGCUGAAGUGCUGAGAACCCCGGGUCUUCAGCCAUGCAUCUGGAUGGGAUACAGUGAGAAAGCAGAAGAACUUUGCAUAUCAGUAUUAUGGAACAUGAAACUUGAAAGAGAAUGAUGAGUGUGACCGUCGUGACGGAUACCCCGGCUACCCCCGACUGGGUAUCUCCGCCAAAUGGGUCCUGCUUCCUCCUUGCCGACUGCAGCUAUGUAGCUGGCAAGUGACCAGAGCCUUUAGCCACCCCUGAUGCCCGACAGCACCAGUAUUCAGGGUCCCACCCUGUGGCAGACUUCGGCUACCCAGACUAGGUAGCUCUGCCAGAGGGUCCUUUCUCUACCUGGAAAAGGCUGCUAUGUAGCCCAGGAAAAUGAUUUUAGCAGGAGCCAACCAAAUAACUAGACAUACUAGCAUUCACGUGAAUCAGGAACUGAUUUUAUUGGAAAACACAAACUCCUUUUAUACACAAAGCUCAUCUUAAUAAGACACUGGACAAUCCCCCAAUUUAACACAAGCCCCAUAAGUCCCAUCUAUAUUAAGGGAAUACUACAAAUAAGGCAGACUCCACCUCAAAAAUAACAUCCAUGCCUAAGGAGUAGGUAGAAAGUCAGUUGGAGGGGAUUCCCGCAAGUCUAAUCAUUUAUACCAGCAGCCAAAGUCAAUCAUCGUAAUUAGGCCCUUUGGUGUAACAGUAUACAUGCCACCAGAAAAAAAGAAUACGAUCUUGCUGAAGGCUCAGCCACUUGGAACAAGCCUGGUAUCCUAUAAAAGAUAUAUUGACAACAUUAUAAUUAUUGUGGCGUGGGGCAGAAAAAUCCUUUGGGGAUUUUGUUGCAUCAAUGAAUGACCAUACAUGUAACCUUAAUUUCACCUAUGAAAUAAGCAAAUCAAGUAUAAAAUUUCUGGAUUUUGAAAUUUUCAUUAAAGCAAAUAAAUUAAAUACCAAAACACACUUCAAAAAAA
Molecule: long non-coding RNA, 1018 nt
Organism: Bombina bombina (fire-bellied toad)
Lineage: Eukaryota; Metazoa; Chordata; Amphibia; Anura; Bombinatoridae
Exons: 2
Source: RefSeq, a predicted model, not a curated record